RNAcentral lists this ribosomal RNA (301 nucleotides) under uncultured bacterium. Its description in RNAcentral is "partial 16S ribosomal RNA". It matches the Rfam family "Bacterial small subunit ribosomal RNA", at positions 509 to 807 of the family's 1533-position model. The record is from RNAcentral.
CAGUCGCCGCGGUAAUACAGAGGGUGCAAGCGUUAAUCGGAUUUACUGGGCGUAAAGGGCGCGUAGGUGGUUAUUUAAGUGAGAUGUGAAAGCCCCGGGCUUAACCUGGGAACUGCAUCUUAUACUGGGUAACUGGAGUGCAGUAGAGGGUAGUGGAAUUUCCGGUGUAGCGGUGAAAUGCGUAGAUAUCGGAAGGAACACCAGUGGCGAAGGCGGCUACCUGGACUGAGACUGACACUGAGGCGCGAGAGCGUGAGGAGCAAACAGGAUUAGAUACCCCAGUAGUCCCUGUCUCUUAUAC